CCUACGGGAGGCAGCAGUGGGGAAUAUUGCACAAUGGGGGAAACCCUGAUGCAGCAACGCCGCGUGAAGGAAGACGGUUCCGGGUUGUAUACUUCUGUUCUUAGUGAAGAAUAAUGACGGUAGCUAAGGAGCAAGCCACGUCUAACUACGUGCCAGCAGCCGCGGUUAUACGUCGGUGGCCAGCGUUGUCCGGAAUUACUGGGUGUAAAGGGAGCGUAGGCGGGAUGCGAAGUCCGCUGUGAAAACUACGGGCUUAACUUGUAGACUGCAGUUGAAACUGGUUUUCUUGAGUGAAGUAGAGGUACGCGGAAUUCCGGGUGUAGCGGUGAAAUGCGUAGAUAUCCGGAGGAACACCGGUGGCGAAGGCGGCCAACUGGGCUUUAACUGACGCUGAGGCUCGAAAGUGUGGGGAGCGAACAGGAUUAGAUACCCCUGUAGUC
Molecule: ribosomal RNA, 440 nt
Filed under: uncultured bacterium
Lineage: Bacteria
Description: partial 16S ribosomal RNA
Rfam family: Bacterial small subunit ribosomal RNA
Source: RNAcentral